RNAcentral lists this ribosomal RNA (551 nucleotides) under uncultured archaeon. RNAcentral's name for it is "bacterial SSU rRNA". It matches the Rfam family "Archaeal small subunit ribosomal RNA", at positions 325 to 879 of the family's 1478-position model. The record is from RNAcentral.
ACGGGGUGAAGCAGGCGCGAAAACUUUACAAUGCGAGAAAUCGUGAUAAGGGAACCCCGAGUGCCCGUAAAUUCGGGCUGUCCGCCAGUGUAAAUAACUGGCGAAGAAAGGGCUGGGCAAGACCGGUGCCAGCCGCCGCGGUAAUACCGGCGGCUCGAGUGGUGGCCGCUAUUACUGGGCUUAAAGCGUCCGUAGCUGGGUUGUUAAGUCUCCUGGGAAAUCCACCGGCUCAACCGAUGGGCGUUCAGGAGAUACUGGCAACCUAGGGACCGGGAGAGGUGAGAGGUACUCCAGGGGUAGGAGUGAGAUCCUGUAAUCCUUGGGGGACCACCUGUGGCGAAGGCGUCUCACCAGAACGGCUCCGACAGUGAGGGACGAAAGCUGGGGGAGCAAACCGGAUUAGAUACCCGGGUAGUCCCAGCUGUAAACGAUGCGCGUUAGGUGUAUCGGUGACCACGAGUCACCGAGGUGCCGAAGAGAAAUCGUGAAACGUGCCGCCUGGGAAGUACGGUCGCAAGGCUGAAACUUAAAGGAAUUGGCGGGGGGAGCAC